This is a long non-coding RNA of Triticum aestivum (bread wheat), 481 nucleotides long. RefSeq lists it as uncharacterized. NCBI's taxonomy places the organism in Eukaryota, Viridiplantae, Streptophyta, Magnoliopsida, Poales, Poaceae. The transcript has 2 exons. The record is from RefSeq and is a predicted model, not a curated record.
UGCCCACCAUGACAUCGUUGCUGAAUUUUGGGGCUAAAGUUCAUAUUGAACUUACGAAUUAGUUUGGGAAUCUGCCCCUCUUAGAUCCAACGAUUUCGUUGUGCUUAUAUCAUUCCAGCCACAAAUUUGGACAGGUGGUGUUCAACAUAGUUUUGGUCAACUAAUUCAGGCAAAUAUUGAGGUUGGGUCUCAUAUUUUGGUUCAGGAAUUUUUCAAUCUACAAUGGCUGCGAGUCAGAUUCAAAGACCUUGAAGGAGGAGCAAAGGGUGGGAGGUUGACACUUUAAAUAGCUAUUUGAAAGUCUGAAGGAGUAGCUCCAUUGGGUGGGAUGUUGAUGUCAUACGCCCAAAAGUGUAAUCUACAAAAAUGUUAAAAAGGUAGGCUUCGGUAUGCUAUAAACUUCAAAUCUCAACCUGUUUCAGUCGACAAAAAAUCUUAUUGACUUCAUGACAAAAAUCAAUCUGAAUGGAAUAUCUCACAA